Molecule: transfer RNA, 71 nt
Filed under: Phycisphaerae bacterium
Lineage: Bacteria; Pseudomonadati; Planctomycetota; Phycisphaerae
Description: tRNA-Asp
Source: RNAcentral
GACAAGUACUUACGGAACCUCUUGUCGGACUGUCGAUCCGAAGGUUGAGGGUUCGAGACCCUUCGGCCUCG